Molecule: ribosomal RNA, 2256 nt
Filed under: Salmonella enterica
Lineage: Bacteria; Pseudomonadati; Pseudomonadota; Gammaproteobacteria; Enterobacterales; Enterobacteriaceae
Description: partial 23S ribosomal RNA
Rfam family: Bacterial large subunit ribosomal RNA
Source: RNAcentral
GUUAAGUUGCAGGGUAUAGACCCGAAACCCGGUGAUCUAGCCAUGGGCAGGUUGAAGGUUGGGUAACACUAACUGGAGGACCGAACCGACUAAUGUUGAAAAAUUAGCGGAUGACCUGUGGCUGGGGGUGAAAGGCCAAUCAAACCGGGAGAUAGCUGGUUCUCCCCGAAAGCUAUUUAGGUAGCGCCUCGUGAAUUCAUCUCCGGGGGUAGAGCACUGUUUCGGCUAGGGGGCCAUCCCGGCUUACCAACCCGAUGCAAACUGCGAAUACCGGAGAAUGUUAUCACGGGAGACACACGGCGGGUGCUAACGUCCGUCGUGAAGAGGGAAACAACCCAGACCGCCAGCUAAGGUCCCAAAGUCAUGGUUAAGUGGGAAACGAUGUGGGAAGGCCCAGACAGCCAGGAUGUUGGCUUAGAAGCAGCCAUCAUUUAAAGAAAGCGUAAUAGCUCACUGGUCGAGUCGGCCUGCGCGGAAGAUGUAACGGGGCUAAACCAUGCACCGAAGCUGCGGCAGCGACGCUUAUGCGUUGUUGGGUAGGGGAGCGUUCUGUAAGCCUGCGAAGGUGGCCUGUGAGGGUUGCUGGAGGUAUCAGAAGUGCGAAUGCUGACAUAAGUAACGAUAAAGCGGGUGAAAAGCCCGCUCGCCGGAAGACCAAGGGUUCCUGUCCAACGUUAAUCGGGGCAGGGUGAGUCGACCCCUAAGGCGAGGCCGAAAGGCGUAGUCGAUGGGAAACGGGUUAAUAUUCCCGUACUUGGUGUUACUGCGAAGGGGGGACGGAGAAGGCUAUGUUGGCCGGGCGACGGUUGUCCCGGUUUAAGCGUGUAGGUGUGUGUUCCAGGUAAAUCCGGUUCACUUUAACACUGAGGCGUGACGACGAGGCACUACGGUGCUGAAGCAACAAAUGCCCUGCUUCCAGGAAAAGCCUCUAAGCAUCAGGUAACAUCAAAUCGUACCCCAAACCGACACAGGUGGUCAGGUAGAGAAUACCAAGGCGCUUGAGAGAACUCGGGUGAAGGAACUAGGCAAAAUGGUGCCGUAACUUCGGGAGAAGGCACGCUGACACGUAGGUGAAGUGAUUUACUCAUGGAGCUGAAGUCAGUCGAAGAUACCAGCUGGCUGCAACUGUUUAUUAAAAACACAGCACUGUGCAAACACGAAAGUGGACGUAUACGGUGUGACGCCUGCCCGGUGCCGGAAGGUUAAUUGAUGGGGUCAGCGCAAGCGAAGCUCCUGAUCGAAGCCCCGGUAAACGGCGGCCGUAACUAUAACGGUCCUAAGGUAGCGAAAUUCCUUGUCGGGUAAGUUCCGACCUGCACGAAUGGCGUAAUGAUGGCCAGGCUGUCUCCACCCGAGACUCAGUGAAAUUGAACUCGCUGUGAAGAUGCAGUGUACCCGCGGCAAGACGGAAAGACCCCGUGAACCUUUACUAUAGCUUGACACUGAACAUUGAGCCUUGAUGUGUAGGAUAGGUGGGAGGCUUUGAAGUGUGGACGCCAGUCUGCAUGGAGCCGACCUUGAAAUACCACCCUUUAAUGUUUGAUGUUCUAACGUGGACCCGUUACCCGGGUUGCGGACAGUGUCUGGUGGGUAGUUUGACUGGGGCGGUCUCCUCCUAAAGAGUAACGGAGGAGCACGAAGGUUGGCUAAUCCUGGUCGGACAUCAGGAGGUUAGUGCAAUGGCAUAAGCCAGCUUGACUGCGAGCGUGACGGCGCGAGCAGGUGCGAAAGCAGGUCAUAGUGAUCCGGUGGUUCUGAAUGGAAGGGCCAUCGCUCAACGGAUAAAAGGUACUCCGGGGAUAACAGGCUGAUACCGCCCAAGAGUUCAUAUCGACGGCGGUGUUUGGCACCUCGAUGUCGGCUCAUCACAUCCUGGGGCUGAAGUAGGUCCCAAGGGUAUGGCUGUUCGCCAUUUAAAGUGGUACGCGAGCUGGGUUUAGAACGUCGUGAGACAGUUCGGUCCCUAUCUGCCGUGGGCGCUGGAGAACUGAGGGGGGCUGCUCCUAGUACGAGAGGACCGGAGUGGACGCAUCACUGGUGUUCGGGUUGUCAUGCCAAUGGCACUGCCCGGUAGCUAAAUGCGGAAGAGAUAAGUGCUGAAAGCAUCUAAGCACGAAACUUGCCCCGAGAUGAGUUCUCCCUGAGACUUAGAGUCUCCUGAAGGAACGUUGAAGACGACGACGUUGAUAGGCCGGGUGUGUAAGCGCAGCGAUGCGUUGAGCUAACCGGUACUAAUGAACCGUGAGGCUUAACCUU